This 88-nucleotide transfer RNA is filed under the name Thermanaeromonas sp. Its description in RNAcentral is "tRNA-Leu". It matches the Rfam family "tRNA". From Rfam's summary of the family: Transfer RNA (tRNA) molecules are approximately 80 nucleotides in length. Their secondary structure includes four short double-helical elements and three loops (D, anti-codon, and T loops). The record is from RNAcentral. Lineage: Bacteria; Bacillati; Bacillota; Clostridia; Neomoorellales; Neomoorellaceae.
GCGAGAGUGGCGGAACAGGCAGACGCUCGAGACUUAAAAUCUCGUGGACCUAUGGUCCGUGCGGGUUCGAGUCCCGCCUCUCGCACCA